CCGGCGGGGAUUCAGCGUCUUUUUCUCACAAAAAUAAACAUGUUACAUGUGCCUCUCUCUUUCUCUCACUCUCAAACGAAAUCAGCUAUUCUUUUCCCUACAUUCGAUUCCAGCGGCCCCGGCGAUAAAGAUGAUCGAUCAGAUCGUCGAUCGGGCUUGGUUUCUGAUCACCUUUAUCCAGGGAGGGAGAGAGAGAGGAAUUCCGUUUUGUUUUUCGAAGGAGUGCAUAAAGGUUGGGUUUGAUCAUCUUCAACCAGAGAGAGAGUCAAGCCAAGAAGUCGAUUGGAAAGAUUCGGUUUGGCUUCUCAAGUCAGUGCAUUAAGGGAUGGCGAAGUGGAAAUAACACAAUUUUCUCAACUGUUAUGGCUUACAAGAUUUUGAUUCCCAAGCCCAGAAAGCAACCUCACACUCUUCCAAAGGGGUACACUGUAUCUAGGUAAAAGUAUGCGGUGAUUUCCAAUUACCUGCUUCAUUUUAGUAUGUCUAUUUGCGUUGCAAUAUUAUACCCACCGGAUUGGCUUCUUUUUCACGCCAGUGGUGUUGACUUGGCUACUGUGCAUCAGUUUUAUUGGCUUGUACAACAUUUUUUGUUGGAACUCACAAGUUUAUGAAGCACUUUCUCCCUACUACAUGUCCAAGUUCUUGAAGACGAGAAAAAGUGGAUGGAUGUCAUUGGGUGGACCUUUGUUGUGCAUAACGAGUAAGAUGGGAAAACAUAUCUACAAGGCAAACUCUCAUGCUUUCCAUUUUGUUAAUAUUCAGGUAUGAUGAAUGUUCGAGGUGGUCUGUCCAAUUGUCAGACUAGUCAUAAUAGGGGAUUCAUGUGGAUGGACACUCCAGUAAUUAUCCAAAGCAAAUUGUAUAUAACGAAAACACCCAAUUUAUGUGAUGUUUCCCGGGAGGCACCAUACAAGAACAUAUAAUUAGAUCUAUUAGUUUUUCCUACAUUUAGCAGUGGUGAUCAUUGUUCGUGUUUCAGUGUCUUUUGUAAGUUCUCAUGUUUUGCCUGAUUAAAAGGACAAAUCAUGGAAGUUGAUUUUGGGUAUGAUUCAUAUGUAAUGCACUGUCACCAAGUACCCACCUAUUGCAGUACCAAUCCUCCAUUGCUAAAUGUGGGUAGCAUUAUUGAAA
This is a long non-coding RNA of Rhododendron vialii, 1131 nucleotides long. RefSeq lists it as uncharacterized. The transcript is spliced from 4 exons. NCBI's taxonomy places the organism in Eukaryota, Viridiplantae, Streptophyta, Magnoliopsida, Ericales, Ericaceae. The record is from RefSeq and is a predicted model, not a curated record.